UACAGAGGGUGCGAACGUUGUUCGGAAUCACUGGGCGUAAAGCGCACGUAGGCGGCACCGCAAGUGUGGUGUGAAAUCCCACGGCUUACCCGUGGAACUGCCUGGCAGACUGCGGUGCUAGAGGUUGGUAGGGGAGAGCGGAACUCUUGGUGGAGCGGUGAAAUGCGUAGAUAUCAAGAGGAACACCGGUGGCGAAGGCGGCUCUCUGGUCCAAUCCUGACGCUGAGGUGCGAAAGCUAGGGGAGCAAACGGG
RNAcentral lists this ribosomal RNA (253 nucleotides) under uncultured bacterium. RNAcentral's name for it is "partial 16S ribosomal RNA". It matches the Rfam family "Bacterial small subunit ribosomal RNA", at positions 524 to 776 of the family's 1533-position model. The record is from RNAcentral.